Amblyraja radiata (thorny skate) is the source of this 518-nucleotide long non-coding RNA. RefSeq lists it as uncharacterized. The record is from RefSeq and is a predicted model, not a curated record. The transcript has 3 exons. NCBI's taxonomy places the organism in Eukaryota, Metazoa, Chordata, Chondrichthyes, Rajiformes, Rajidae.
GUUUACUUCGGCGAGAGGGAAAUCCUAUGGCUUGGCACACCUUGCACAACCUCAUGACUUCCCAGAUCUCAAGUGAUGAUAAUUCAUUGACGGUGAUAAUUCUGCUUUUGAGGAAAUUGUACUUACAGCAGACCCACACUCCAGCCACUGUGAAGGCAUCUGUAACAGGAAAGGUGGAGGCUAAUUUCAUCCUGGCCUGGAGAAAAUCAACCAUCACUUUACUUUAGACUUUUGUGAUACAGUGUGGAAACAGGCCCUUCAUUGAUUGUAAUCAUGUAUUGUCUUUCUGCUGACUGGAUAGCAUGCAACAAUAAGUUUUCACUGUACGUCAGGACACGUGACUAUAAACUAAACUGAUACCCUUCCACCGAAGGUAAGUACCCUUACCCAAACUUCCGUGCCGUCAAGCGAUUAGACAGUACACUAACACUACCCUACACACACCAAAGACAAUUUUACGAUACAAUAAACUUUAUACAUCCCCGGCAGAAAAUUGGUCUGCCAAUUAGCCUACAAAC